GGCUCAAUGUCUCUCACAUGCCCCCUACGAGUACCCAACACCUUCUUAAAUAUUGCGAUCCAAUAAAUGGUGUCUGGAUCACCACCGGAGUCGGCUAUGUGAUGAGUUUGUAGAGCAACCUCAGCAACUAAGGCAUUCUAUAUUUCACAAGGCUUUGGCAUUGUUGUUUGUACUAAACACAAGAAACAGCCUUCCAAUAAAUGAAACUUAUUCCAAAUUCUAUUAUGCAUUUUCAAUUUUUUAUUAUAAAUGUGAGGGGUAAUUUAACUAUGUGUCUCAAGAUGUGUGUUGUGUAAUAGAAAGACAUAGUUGUUGCAUAACAAAAAACGUAACCUUUAGCGACGACAAAAAGCAUCGCAAUUGAUGCCCCUGGACGUCGCUAAUACCUUUAGCGACGACAUGUUGUCGCUAUUACCUCGUAGCUAAUACUCUUUUGUCGUCGGAAAUAGUGUCGCCUCUGAUAUACGUUGUUGCUAAAUGGUUAAUCUCAUUGUUGUUGGUGUCGUCUCUAUUGGUAUCCCGGCACCGGUCAGAGUUUCUCCGGCUACACUUCCGGGAACCGGUUGUCAUCACAAUUGGAUCAUUGUCGUCCCUAAAUAUGUGGCUGCUAAUGGUUUUUUUUGGAAAAUAAUAAUUUAUUUAUGAUAUUGGUUUUUAUAUAUUAUAAAAUGCAUCUUUAAUAAAAAUACAUACCACAUUACAUAAAACAUCAAAUAUAUCAUAUUACAUAAACUAUCUAAUAUAUCCCAAAUACACAUCUAAUAUAUCAUCCAUAAACUAUCUAAUAAAUCCAAAAUAACACCAUCCACAAAGGGUCAAAACAAGAAAUACUAUGUGUCUGCGUCUUCGUCAUCGUUCUUUUCUUCAUUAUUGACGUGGCUUUUAAACAAACAGAUAAUGUCUCCAAUGGUUGUCACAAACACCAGGUUUUGAAGAAAAGCAUUCACAUCAACAUUCUACAAUUAAUUCACAAGCACAUUAAGUCAUUAACUAUUAAUUAUUUAACAAACGAUCAAACCAUCAGACCACCAAAUGAAUUAUGUCGGUAACAAUUUAAAAAACUAUUAAGCCACCAAAUCAGUUAAGUCUUUAAGAAUUUAACAAACUACCAAACUAACUAACUACCAUAAAUUAUUAUAAAUGCAUAAUGCUCUUAACAAUAUAGCAAAGCUACCAAAUUCUUUAAGAAUUUAACAAGUAGUUGUGGUUCUUGCGGUGCUUGUGACUGUGACCGCCAUUAGGAUGAAGCACGUGUACCCGUUGCUGAAGAAGUUUUAGGCUCAAAGCCUCUCACAUGCCCCCUACGAGCACCCAACACCUUCUUAAAUAUUGCGAUCCAAUAAAUGGUGUCUGGAUCACCACCAGAGUCGGCUAUGUGAUGAGUUUGUAGAGCAACCUCAGCAACUAAAGCAUUAUAUAUUUCACGAGGCUUUGGCAUUGUUGUUUGUACUAAACACAAGAAAUAGCCUUCCAAUAAAUGAAACUUAUUCCAAAUUCUAUUAUGCAUUUUCAAUUUUUUAUUAUAAAUGUGAGGGGUAAUUUAACUAUGUGUCUCAAGAUGUGUGUUGUGUAAUAGAAAUACAUAGUUGUUGCAUAACAAAAAACAUAACCUUUAGCGAUGACAAAAAGCAUCGCAAUUGAUGCCCCUGGACGUCGCUAAUACCUUUAGCGACGACAUGUUGUCGCUAUUACCUCGUAGCUAAUACUCUUUUGUCGUCGGAAAUAGUGUCGCCUCUGAUAUACGUUGUUGCUAAAUGGUU
RNAcentral lists this long non-coding RNA (1760 nucleotides) under Lactuca sativa (garden lettuce). RNAcentral's name for it is "long non-coding RNA (LSAT_LNC010256)". The record is from RNAcentral. Lineage: Eukaryota; Viridiplantae; Streptophyta; Magnoliopsida; Asterales; Asteraceae.